RNAcentral lists this non-coding RNA (42 nucleotides) under Trypanosoma brucei brucei. Lineage: Eukaryota; Euglenozoa; Kinetoplastea; Trypanosomatida; Trypanosomatidae. The record is from RNAcentral.
AAAACACAAGCAGAUGAUUAUAUUCGGUGAAUGAUGGUAUAU